This 1541-nucleotide ribosomal RNA is filed under the name Escherichia coli. RNAcentral's name for it is "bacterial SSU rRNA". It matches the Rfam family "Bacterial small subunit ribosomal RNA". The record is from RNAcentral. Lineage: Bacteria; Pseudomonadati; Pseudomonadota; Gammaproteobacteria; Enterobacterales; Enterobacteriaceae.
AAAUUGAAGAGUUUGAUCAUGGCUCAGAUUGAACGCUGGCGGCAGGCCUAACACAUGCAAGUCGAACGGUAACAGGAAGAAGCUUGCUUCUUUGCUGACGAGUGGCGGACGGGUGAGUAAUGUCUGGGAAACUGCCUGAUGGAGGGGAUAACUACUGGAAACGGUAGCUAAUACCGCAUAACGUCGCAAGACCAAAGAGGGGGACCUUCGGGCCUCUUGCCAUCGGAUGUGCCCAGAUGGGAUUAGCUUGUUGGUGGGGUAACGGCUCACCAAGGCGACGAUCCCUAGCUGGUCUGAGAGGAUGACCAGCCACACUGGAACUGAGACACGGUCCAGACUCCUACGGGAGGCAGCAGUGGGGAAUAUUGCACAAUGGGCGCAAGCCUGAUGCAGCCAUGCCGCGUGUAUGAAGAAGGCCUUCGGGUUGUAAAGUACUUUCAGCGGGGAGGAAGGGAGUAAAGUUAAUACCUUUGCUCAUUGACGUUACCCGCAGAAGAAGCACCGGCUAACUCCGUGCCAGCAGCCGCGGUAAUACGGAGGGUGCAAGCGUUAAUCGGAAUUACUGGGCGUAAAGCGCACGCAGGCGGUUUGUUAAGUCAGAUGUGAAAUCCCCGGGCUCAACCUGGGAACUGCAUCUGAUACUGGCAAGCUUGAGUCUCGUAGAGGGGGGGUAGAAUUCCGGUGUAGCGGUGAAAUGCGUAGAGAUCUGGAGGAAUACCGGUGGCGAAGGCGGCCCCCUGGACGAAGACUGACGCUCAGGUGCGAAAGCGUGGGGAGCAAACAGGAUUAGAUACCCUGGUAGUCCACGCCGUAAACGAUGUCGACUUGGAGGUUGUGCCCUUGAGGCGUGGCUUCCGGAGCUAACGCGUUAAGUCGACCGCCUGGGGAGUACGGCCGCAAGGUUAAAACUCAAAUGAAUUGACGGGGGCCCGCACAAGCGGUGGAGCAUGUGGUUUAAUUCGAUGCAACGCGAAGAACCUUACCUGGUCUUGACAUCCACGGAAGUUUUCAGAGAUGAGAAUGUGCCUUCGGGAACCGUGAGACAGGUGCUGCAUGGCUGUCGUCAGCUCGUGUUGUGAAAUGUUGGGUUAAGUCCCGCAACGAGCGCAACCCUUAUCCUUUGUUGCCAGCGGUCCGGCCGGGAACUCAAAGGAGACUGCCAGUGAUAAACUGGAGGAAGGUGGGGAUGACGUCAAGUCAUCAUGGCCCUUACGACCAGGGCUACACACGUGCUACAAUGGCGCAUACAAAGAGAAGCGACCUCGCGAGAGCAAGCGGACCUCAUAAAGUGCGUCGUAGUCCGGAUUGGAGUCUGCAACUCGACUCCAUGAAGUCGGAAUCGCUAGUAAUCGUGGAUCAGAAUGCCACGGUGAAUACGUUCCCGGGCCUUGUACACACCGCCCGUCACACCAUGGGAGUGGGUUGCAAAAGAAGUAGGUAGCUUAACCUUCGGGAGGGCGCUUACCACUUUGUGAUUCAUGACUGGGGUGAAGUCGUAACAAGGUAACCGUAGGGGAACCUGCGGUUGGAUCACCUCCUUA